GUCAGGAUGGCCGAGCGGUCUAAGGCGCUGCGUUCAGGUCGCAGUCUCCUCUGGAGGCGUGGGUUUGAAUCCCACAUCUGACA
Non-coding RNA from Danio rerio (zebrafish), 83 nucleotides. Lineage: Eukaryota; Metazoa; Chordata; Actinopteri; Cypriniformes; Danionidae. The record is from Rfam.